This 111-nucleotide ribosomal RNA is filed under the name Caerostris darwini. The record is from RNAcentral. Lineage: Eukaryota; Metazoa; Arthropoda; Arachnida; Araneae; Araneidae.
AACGGUCGUACCAUGUUGAAUAUACCGGUUCUCGUUAGAUCACCGAAGUCAAGCAUCAUUGGGCGCGGUCAGUACUUGGGUGGGUGACCACCUGGGAACACCGCUUGCCGU